RNAcentral lists this ribosomal RNA (254 nucleotides) under uncultured Lentisphaerota bacterium. Its description in RNAcentral is "uncultured Lentisphaerae bacterium partial 16S ribosomal RNA". It matches the Rfam family "Bacterial small subunit ribosomal RNA", at positions 1130 to 1382 of the family's 1533-position model. Lineage: Bacteria; Pseudomonadati; Lentisphaerota. The record is from RNAcentral.
GGUGAGCACUCUAGGCAUACUGCCCGUUUAACACGGGAGGAAGGUGGGGACGACGUCAAGUCAGUAUGGCCCUUACGUCCUGGGCUGCACACGUGCUACAAUGGCCGGUACAGAGGGAAGCAAGACCGCGAGGUGGAGCAAAUCCCUAAAAACCGUCCUCAGUUCGGAUUGAAGUCUGCAAUUCGACUUCAUGAAGCCGGAUUCGCUAGUAAUGGCGCAUCAGCUACGGCGCCGUGAAUACGUUCCCGGGCCUU